RNAcentral lists this transfer RNA (86 nucleotides) under Coprinopsis cinerea okayama7#130. RNAcentral's name for it is "tRNA-Gly". It matches the Rfam family "tRNA". From Rfam's summary of the family: Transfer RNA (tRNA) molecules are approximately 80 nucleotides in length. Their secondary structure includes four short double-helical elements and three loops (D, anti-codon, and T loops). Further hydrogen bonds mediate the characteristic L-shaped molecular structure. tRNAs have two regions of fundamental functional importance: the anti-codon, which is responsible for specific mRNA codon recognition, and the 3' end, to which the tRNAs corresponding amino acid is attached (by aminoacyl-tRNA synthetases). tRNAs cope with the degeneracy of the genetic code in two manners: having more than one tRNA (with a specific anti-codon) for a particular amino acid; and 'wobble' base-pairing, i.e. permitting non-standard base-pairing at the 3rd anti-codon position. The record is from RNAcentral. Lineage: Eukaryota; Fungi; Basidiomycota; Agaricomycetes; Agaricales; Psathyrellaceae. RNAcentral also lists the same sequence under 1 other name.
GCAUCAAUGGGGUAGUGGUAACCUGGAUCGUUGCCACUCGCGUCGACUAGCUCGAUCCGCCGGGGGUUCGAUUCCCCCUUGAUGCA